Molecule: unclassified non-coding RNA, 572 nt
Filed under: Hevea brasiliensis (rubber tree)
Lineage: Eukaryota; Viridiplantae; Streptophyta; Magnoliopsida; Malpighiales; Euphorbiaceae
Source: RNAcentral
GUCCCCUUCUUCACUCCCUCACAGAUCUGACUGAAAUCCCGACCAUAAAACCACCUCCCUCCGCCCUCACCCCUAUCGCCGCCGCUCUCCGCCGCCAACCGCCGCUGCCAUGAAGCAGCUCCACAAACAAUCCAGCCUCAACCAGCAGAGCCAGAUCCCGAUUCACAACAGCCCCACCUACAGCACCAAACCCUCCAAACUCCCCCGCUCCUCUCUCCCCCGAUCCGCCGCCGCCUACCUCCUCCGUGAGCAGCGCCUCCUCUUCGUCCUCGUCGGCGCCCUCAUCGCCUCCACUCUCUUCCUCCUCCACCCCUACUACUACUCCUCCCUCUCCCGCCUCUCCCCCGUCGACACCCCCAUCCCCGUCUUCCGCGACCCCGCCUCCUUCGACCACCACGAAUCCUCCAUCUCAUCCUUCUCCUCCGCCGCAUCGGCCGUGGUUGCCAGUGGCGGCGGGCGGCGGGUCCCGGUGGGCCUCCGGAAGCCGCCGCUGCGGAUCGUGGUGACCGGCGGGGCGGGGUUCGCCAGCAGCUUGUCUACGAGAUGGCUCCCGACGAACCCCGCCCCGCCGG